This 865-nucleotide ribosomal RNA is filed under the name uncultured archaeon. RNAcentral describes it as "bacterial SSU rRNA". It matches the Rfam family "Archaeal small subunit ribosomal RNA", at positions 28 to 899 of the family's 1478-position model. The record is from RNAcentral.
UGGCCGCGGGAUUCGACUAAGCCAUGCGAGUCAAGGUGUCUUCGGACGCCGGCAUACGGCUCAGUAACACGUAGGUAACCUACCCUCAGGACUGAGAUAACCCCGGGAAACUGGGGCUAAUAUUAGAUAGAUAAAAGAUACUGGAAUGUUCUUUUAUCCAAAGCUUUUGCGCCUGAGGAUGGGCCUGCGUCCGAUUAGGUCGUUGGUGGGGUAAUGGCCCACCAAGCCUGCGAUCGGUACGGGCAGUGGAAGCUGAAGCCCGGAGUUGGGGACUGAGACAAGGCCCCAGGCCCUACGGGGCGCAGCAGGCGCGAAACCUCUGCAAUGCGGGAAACCGUGACAGGGGGAUCCCAAGUGCUCAUGCAUUGCAUGGGCUGUUCUUUGGUCUAAGUAACCAGAGGAGUAAGGGCUGGGCAAGACCGGUGCCAGCCGCCGCGGUAAUACCGGCAGCUCAAGUGGUAGCCGCGAUUAUUGGGCCUAAAACGUUCGUAGCCGGAUAAGUAAGUCUUUGGUUAAAUCCUGCGACUCAACCGUGGGAAUUCUAGAGAUACUGCUCGUCUUGAGACCGGGAGAGGUUGGAGGUACUCCUAGGGUAGGGGUGAAAUCCUGUAAUCCUAGGGGGACCACCUGUGGCGAAGGCGUCCAACUGGAACGGGUCUGACGGUGAGGGACGAAACCUAGGGGAGCGAGCCGGAUUAGAUACCCGGGUAGUCCUAGGCGUAAAUGAUGCGAGUUAAGUGUGGGGGCAUCUACGAGAUGGCCCUGUGCUGUAGGGUAGCCGUUAAACUCGCUGCCUGGGGAGUACGGUCGCAAGGCUGAAACUUAAAGGAAUUGGCGGGGGAGCAAAUCACUAGUGCGGCCGCCU